RNAcentral lists this small RNA (114 nucleotides) under Mytilus galloprovincialis (Mediterranean mussel). The record is from RNAcentral. Lineage: Eukaryota; Metazoa; Mollusca; Bivalvia; Mytilida; Mytilidae.
GUUGGAUAUGGUGAUGCUGUACCAAAAAGCCUGCUUGGUAAAAUGAUCGGUUGUGUAUGUGCUGUAACGGGUGUAUUUGUACUGGCAGUUCUCAUUCCAGUUUUGGUGUCGAAU